This 353-nucleotide ribosomal RNA is filed under the name uncultured Anaerolineaceae bacterium. Its description in RNAcentral is "bacterial SSU rRNA". It matches the Rfam family "Bacterial small subunit ribosomal RNA", at positions 1014 to 1382 of the family's 1533-position model. Lineage: Bacteria; Bacillati; Chloroflexota; Anaerolineae; Anaerolineales; Anaerolineaceae. The record is from RNAcentral.
CCCUUCGGGGAGCUUGUACAGGUGCUGCAUGGCUGUCGUCAGCUCGUGUCGUGAGAUGUUCGGUUAAGUCCGCUAACGAGCGCAACCCUCGCUGUGUGUUACAAGUGUCACACGGAACUGCCGGUCAUAAACCGGAGGAAGGUGGGGAUGACGUCAAGUCAGCAUGGCCUUUAUAUCCUGGGCUACACACACGCUACAAUGGGAAGGGACAAUAGGUUGCGAAGCCGCGAGGUGGAGCCAAUCCAGCAAAACUUCCCUCAGUUCAGAUUGCAGGCUGCAACUCGCCUGCAUGAAGUUGGAGUUGCUAGUAAACGCAGGUCAGCCAUACUGCGUUGAAUACGUUCCCGGGGCUU